RNAcentral lists this long non-coding RNA (236 nucleotides) under Linum usitatissimum (flax). RNAcentral's name for it is "long non-coding RNA (LUSI_LNC005572)". Lineage: Eukaryota; Viridiplantae; Streptophyta; Magnoliopsida; Malpighiales; Linaceae. The record is from RNAcentral.
CCACACAAUUUAUUUGACAAAUUCAACACUCAAAAUAAAAAAUCCAGAACCCAACCAAACCCAAACUUAAAAUCUAAAAUUUAAAAAUUUAAAACCCAAUACUAACCUUAAAUCUUAAUAUUCAAAAUUUAAAAUCUAAAUUCAAAAUCUAAAUUCCAAAAUUAACAACCCAAUACUCUUAACCUUACUUUAAACUCUUUAAUAAAAAUUCAAAAUUACAAAACCAAAACCAAAAC